AGACUUUGAUUGUGGCUCAGGAUUAACGCUGGCGGCGUGCCUAACACAUGCAAGUCGAGCGAGAAGUUUUUUGUGAAGAUUUCGGUUGGAACAGAAGAUGGAAAGCGGCAGACGGGUGAGUAACGCGUGAAUAAUCAACCCUGCACAAAGGGAUAGCCUCGGGAAACCGGGAUUAAUACCAUAUGAAGUACAUUAAUCGAAUGGUAGAUGUAUUAAAGUUUUUAACGGUGCAGGACAAGUUCGCGUCCCAUUAGCUAGUUGGUGAGAUAACAGCUUACCAAGGCGACGAUGGGUAGCCGGCCUGAGAGGGUGAACGGCCACACUGGAACUGAGACACGGUCCAGACUCCUACGGGAGGCAGCAGUGGGGAAUAUUGCACAAUGGAGGAAACUCUGAUGCAGCGACGCCGCGUGAGCGAAGAAGGCCUUCGGGUCGUAAAGCUCUUUCACCCGCGAAGAUGAUGACGGUAGCGGGAGAAGAAGCCCCGCUAACUUCCGUUGCCAGCAGCCCGCGGGUAAUACCGGAGGGGGGACAACCGUUGUUCGGAUUUACCUGGGGCCG
This 561-nucleotide ribosomal RNA is filed under the name uncultured bacterium. Its description in RNAcentral is "bacterial SSU rRNA". It matches the Rfam family "Bacterial small subunit ribosomal RNA", at positions 8 to 563 of the family's 1533-position model. The record is from RNAcentral.